RNAcentral lists this ribosomal RNA (858 nucleotides) under uncultured marine group II euryarchaeote EF100_57A08. Its description in RNAcentral is "bacterial SSU rRNA". It matches the Rfam family "Archaeal small subunit ribosomal RNA", at positions 633 to 1478 of the family's 1478-position model. Lineage: Archaea; Methanobacteriati; Thermoplasmatota; Candidatus Poseidoniia; Candidatus Poseidoniales. The record is from RNAcentral.
UAAAAUCCUGUCAUCCUGAGCGGACCACCUGUUGCGAAGGCGCCACACUAGAACGGAUCCGACGGUCAGGGACGAAGCCUAGGGGCACGAACCGGAUUAGAUACCCGGGUAGUCCUAGGUGUAAACGCUGUGGACUUGGUGUUGGGGAUUCUCCGAGGAUCCUCAGUGCCGAAGCGAAGGUGAUAAGUCCACUGCCUGGGGAGUACGGUCGCAAGGCUGAAACUUAAAGGAAUUGGCGGGGGAGCACCGCAACCUGAGGAUUGUGCGGUUUAAUUGGAUUCAACGCCGGAAAACUCACCAGUGCCGACGGACAAAUGAAAGCCAGUGUAAUGAGCUUGCUGGAUUGUUCGAGAGGUAGUGCAUGGCCGUCGUCAGUUCGUACCGUAAGGCGUUCUGUUAAGUCAGAUAACGAACGAGACCCUCAUCCCUAUUUGCUAAGGUCAGUCCGCUGAUCACAGGACUAUAGGGAGACCGCUGGCGCUAAGUCAGAGGAAGGCGAGGGCAACGGUAGGUCAGUAUGCUCCGAAUGCACUGGGCUACACGCGCAAUACAAAGGACGGGACAAUGGGCCGCUGCGCCGAGAGGCAUGUGGCAAUCUCGAAACCCGUUCGUAGUUCGGAUUGAGGGCUGUAACUCGCCCUCAUGAAGCUGGAUUAGGUAGUAAUCGCGUCUCAAUAAGGCGCGGUGAAUAUGCCCCUGCUCCUUGCACACACCGCCCGUCAAACCAUCUUAGUUGGGGGUGGGUGAGGCUGCCUUUUAGUGGGGUAUUCGAGCCUGCCUUCGACAAGGAGGGUUAAGUCGUAACAAGGUAUCUGUAGGGGAACCUGCAGAUGGAUCACCUCCUGAGAAACUCGGAAA